RNA transcript from Lathyrus oleraceus (garden pea), 1971 nucleotides. RefSeq lists it as uncharacterized. NCBI's taxonomy places the organism in Eukaryota, Viridiplantae, Streptophyta, Magnoliopsida, Fabales, Fabaceae. The transcript is spliced from 6 exons. The record is from RefSeq and is a predicted model, not a curated record.
CCGAAGGGAAGGUAACGUCGUCUGCGGGAGCUUGCUCGCGUUCCACCCUUGGGGUUUCGAAAGAUGCUCAAUGGUCCAAUGGAGAAUGGUUCAGGAUUGCUUUUGCUGCUCAGAAACAAGUUGUCUUUUUGAUGCUUAUAAUCUGGAAAGGGAAUUGAACUGCUGAUGCUGCUGUGGCCGUGGCUGUGAUGUAUUCUACUGUCAAAUUGGAUACAUUGCUUCUGUGGUGUGCAUAGUGGUUUGCAUUGUCCAAUCAGGCUAUCCUUUUGGUAUGCUGCAGAAAGGAUGGAUGUUGCACCUGAGGUACACUUGUUUUAGAGCUACAAUGCCUCAAGAUUUGCAAGUUUAGGUGGCCUUGAAGCCUUUGCCUUGGUUCUGCUCAUGACCUUGCUACACUAUCAUUGCAAAGUUGGUUGGAUGUGGUUGCAGGUCUUGGCAAGAUUUUGGACCUUCACUGUGAUUGUGAGUUGGGUUUGGUGCUGCAGCAUGAUGAGCCAUGUGCAUUACUCGUUCCUGAUUGAUGUAGCAGCUUUGUUUUGCCUAUUCUGUUGUAGGUAAGUUCUCUGCAAACCUGGCUUUGAUCUAUGUUCAAUGCUAUGCCUUGCUAUGCACUAGUCCUGGCAUGUUAUACCUCAAAGUGCAGCAUUAUGUACUGCCAAGGUUUGCAACAGGUGGCCACAAUUCAACCAUGUUUUGGCUUGGUCUGUCAUGAGUCGGCAUUUUUCUACAGGAUUCAACAUGUUAGAUUCAGUUGUGCAUGGUGAUUCUGUUAAUUGUCAGCUGCAAGCAGAUUUCUUCCUGGCUUGGAUAAGUAACAACCAUAUCUUCCCUCAUGGCUUGCUUUUAUUUGGGAUUCAUAACAUGUUGCCAACUGUUUUUUUUUGCAGGUUUGGUUCUAGUCGCUACAACCUCCAUGAGCCUCUCUCAUCAUUAUGAGUUCAAAAACCAAAUGCAUGUGUAUUGGUUAAGUUGGACUUUGGUUAGGCCGUCAUGCCAACACUGAGUUGGCAACAUGUGUGUAUUUCUCUUUAUAUUUCCUGCCUAAUGAUUCUGCUCCACGUUUAUCUGCAGAUGCCCUUUCUGUAAUCUCAUUUAGGCGGUUAUCGCAUCUGCUUUUGUACAGGGCCAAUUCCUGCAUUUUGCUGCGGUACAACUCCAUCCUCUCUUUGAAUCCCAUCUCACAUUCUGCAUUUCUUCGGUCUUUUACUCUGCAGUCUCGACAUUUUGCUCACUAUUAUCUGGCAUUCCUUGUUGCUGCUGAAAACCUGGGCGUACACCCCAUGCCGCAUUUCAUCGAACACCUCGAACGCAUCAUGAUUUGCCGUAACCUUCUGGCUCCGUAGAGAAAUGGGUCUAAGAGAUCGAAGUACUUUGAGAGAAAUCAAGAGUCGUUAGUCCCGCUUGUCCCACCGUACAGUUGAAGGUGAUGACGCCUCCAUUGUAUCGUUGGAUGGAAGAAGGAGUUGGUUUUCUACCGAAAAAGAUUGAAAGGCUCCCGAAAGCAGACGUCAAGUAUCGAUUUGUGAUUGAGAUUGGAAACUCCUUGAAACCAACUUCUUAAAUUUCGCAGUUUGAAUAGUCAUUUGUUUUUUUACUUCUUGUAUGCAAUAAGUGUUUUUGAUAGUAGACAUAGAAUGUUUGCUGUUAGCUGCGAUGCCGUUUCGGCAUGUUGCAACUGGUUUUUCAAUUGCAGCUUGUUUACAUUUGUAUGCCACUUUGCUGUUACGUUUUGGUUGUUUAGCUGGCUCGUGUUUGCUACUUAUGGAGUGGCUCAAAGUUUGUCAUUGUCUAAGUCCCUGGAAAUAGAUGCCACACAUAACAUGUCCUAUUAUUAUUUGCUACUACUACCAAGCUACCAUCCCACAUCACUGUCAGAUAGCGUACAAACGUAUCCACCUCUGGCACCUAUAUUUCAAUUCACAGCUGCAUGAAUUUGCUGUCAAACCUCACACAUGAAUAUUGCCAUCUUGA